This 711-nucleotide ribosomal RNA is filed under the name Salmonella enterica. Its description in RNAcentral is "partial 23S ribosomal RNA". It matches the Rfam family "Bacterial large subunit ribosomal RNA", at positions 2092 to 2802 of the family's 2925-position model. Lineage: Bacteria; Pseudomonadati; Pseudomonadota; Gammaproteobacteria; Enterobacterales; Enterobacteriaceae. RNAcentral also lists the same sequence under 2 other names. The record is from RNAcentral.
CGUGAACCUUUACUAUAGCUUGACACUGAACAUUGAGCCUUGAUGUGUAGGAUAGGUGGGAGGCUUUGAAGUGUGGACGCCAGUCUGCAUGGAGCCGACCUUGAAAUACCACCCUUUAAUGUUUGAUGUUCUAACGUGGACCCGUAAUCCGGGUUGCGGACAGUGUCUGGUGGGUAGUUUGACUGGGGCGGUCUCCUCCUAAAGAGUAACGGAGGAGCACGAAGGUUGGCUAAUCCUGGUCGGACAUCAGGAGGUUAGUGCAAUGGCAUAAGCCAGCUUGACUGCGAGCGUGACGGCGCGAGCAGGUGCGAAAGCAGGUCAUAGUGAUCCGGUGGUUCUGAAUGGAAGGGCCAUCGCUCAACGGAUAAAAGGUACUCCGGGGAUAACAGGCUGAUACCGCCCAAGAGUUCAUAUCGACGGCGGUGUUUGGCACCUCGAUGUCGGCUCAUCACAUCCUGGGGCUGAAGUAGGUCCCAAGGGUAUGGCUGUUCGCCAUUUAAAGUGGUACGCGAGCUGGGUUUAGAACGUCGUGAGACAGUUCGGUCCCUAUCUGCCGUGGGCGCUGGAGAACUGAGGGGGGCUGCUCCUAGUACGAGAGGACCGGAGUGGACGCAUCACUGGUGUUCGGGUUGUCAUGCCAAUGGCACUGCCCGGUAGCUAAAUGCGGAAGAGAUAAGUGCUGAAAGCAUCUAAGCACGAAACUUGCCCCGA